UACGUAGGGGGCAAGCGUUGUCCGGAUUUAUUGGGCGUAAAGAGCGUGUAGGCGGUCAGGUAGGUCCGUUGUGAAAACUCGAGGCUCAACCUCGAGACGCCGAUGGAAACCAUCUGACUAGAGUCCGGAAGAGGAGAGUGGAAUUCCUGGUGUAGCGGUGAAAUGCGCAGAUAUCAGGAAGAGCACCCGUGGCUAAGGCGGCUCUCUAGUACGGUACUGACGCUGAGACGCGAAAGCGUGGGGAGCGAACAGG
This 253-nucleotide ribosomal RNA is filed under the name uncultured bacterium. Its description in RNAcentral is "partial 16S ribosomal RNA". It matches the Rfam family "Bacterial small subunit ribosomal RNA", at positions 524 to 776 of the family's 1533-position model. The record is from RNAcentral.